AGUGAACGCUGGCGGUAGGCCUAACACAUGCAAGUCGAACGGCAGCACAGUAAGAGCUUGCUCUUACGGGUGGCGAGUGGCGGACGGGUGAGGAAUACAUCGGAAUCUACUUUUUCGUGGGGGAUAACGUAGGGAAACUUACGCUAAUACCGCGUACGACCUACGGGUGAAAGCAGGGGAUCUUCGGACCUUGCGCGAUUGAAUGAGCCGAUGUCGGAUUAGCUAGUUGGCGGGGUAAAGGCCCACCAAGGCGACGAUCCGUAGCUGGUCUGAGAGGAUGAUCAGCCACACUGGAACUGAGACACGGUCCAGACUCCUACGGGAGGCAGCAGUGGGGAAUAUUGGACAAUGGGCGCAAGCCUGAUCCAGCCAUACCGCGUGGGUGAAGAAGGCCUUCGGGUUGUAAAGCCCUUUUAUUGGGAAAGAAAAGAAGCAGGUUAAUACCCCGCCGUUCUGACGGUACCCAAAGAAUAAGCACCGGCUAACUUCGUG
RNAcentral lists this ribosomal RNA (492 nucleotides) under uncultured bacterium. RNAcentral's name for it is "partial 16S ribosomal RNA". It matches the Rfam family "Bacterial small subunit ribosomal RNA", at positions 29 to 507 of the family's 1533-position model. The record is from RNAcentral.